Molecule: transfer RNA, 75 nt
Filed under: Gemmatimonadetes bacterium 13_2_20CM_2_69_23
Lineage: Bacteria; Pseudomonadati; Gemmatimonadota
Description: tRNA-Thr
Rfam family: tRNA
About the family: Transfer RNA (tRNA) molecules are approximately 80 nucleotides in length. Their secondary structure includes four short double-helical elements and three loops (D, anti-codon, and T loops).
Source: RNAcentral
GCCGCAGUGGCUUAGUGGUAUAGCGGCGCCUUGGUAAGGCGCAGAUCGGGGGUUCAAUUCCCCCCUGCGGCUCUA